CAGCUACUUGGGAGGCUGAGGCAGGAGAAUCGCUUGAAUCCGGGAGGUGGAGGUUGCAGUGAGCUGAGAUUGCACCACUGCACUCCAGCCUGGGUGACAGAGCGAGACUCUGUCUCAAUAAAAAAAAAAAAAGGUGAGUUGGGGGGUGGCGGGGGCAGGAAGCAAGUGAGCGGAGAGGCAAAAACACAUUAGAGAAGUCAAGGAAAUGUACUCAAAGACACAGAGGAGAGGUUUCAGAUUAGAAGAGUAUUAAAUGCAUGCAGUGUACUAGUCAGCUGGGAGAGCUCAGUGGAGAACACAAGUGUCUUUCUCAGCUCGGGCUGCCCUACGGAAAUACUACAGACUGGGUGGCUUAAACAGAAAUUUCUUUCUCACAGUUCUGGAAGCUGCAAGUCCAAGAUCAAGAUGCCAGCAGGGAGAGAAAACACUGUUUCUGCCCGCUCUGUGACCUUCUCCCCUCCACGUCUGUGUUACCAUCCGUUGGCAGCAUCUCUCAGGACGAAGAGCAGCAUCAGAGGGGAGUGAGAGGAAAGCAGGUCCCAUCUUACUUGCAGCGCUGGUCACACGCACAGACAGGGUUGAAAAGUUUCACACAGACAGAUUUAAUCGUAAUUGUAUCCUUCAAGGCCCUACCUUCAAAAUCAGUCACACUGAGAGUUAAGGCUUGUGAAAGGAAAAGAGCUCCCUAUAUCCUCUUGGGUUGCCAUGGUGAGCAACCUCUCAGGUCCCAGGCUCAGAGCAGGUGGCAGGAGGAGGCUGCAGGCUUGAGUACCAUUCAAGAUGUCCAUUAGAAGCACAAACAGCCAGGCGCAGUGGCUCACACCUGUAAUCCCAGCACUUUGGGAGGCCAAGGCGGGCAAAUCACGAGGUCAGGAGUUCGAAACCAGCCUGGCCAACAUGGUGAAACCUCUCUCUACUAAAAACACAAAAAAUUAGCUGGGCGUAGUGGCGGGUGCCUGUAAUCCCAGCUACUCAAGAGGCUGAGACAGGAUAAUCGCUCGAACCUGGGAGACAGGGGUUGCAGUAAGCCAAGAUCACACCACUGCACUCCAGCCCGGGCAACAGAGUGAGACUCUGUCUCAAAAAAAAAAAAAGAAAGAAAAGAAGCACAAACAACCCCAGCCUUCCCUCUCUCCAUAAUGGACUGAAUCUCAGCCUGCCACACUAAUAGGUGCUUGGCCACAAAGAAACCUGCAACAGCAAUGUCUUACUCCUCAUUAUGUGGAUUUCAACAAUGGAUACAGUGCUUUCAUUGUGAUCUCCAUAUGCAGAAUUGCAAAGCCUCUCUCAGCCAGGCACAAGUAGCCUAGGCUUUGGGAAACCCUCACAAAUAAUUUUUCAAGGACAAUAAACCACAAACAAUCAAAGACA
This 1371-nucleotide long non-coding RNA is filed under the name Piliocolobus tephrosceles (Ugandan red Colobus). RNAcentral describes it as "lncRNA (ENSPTEG00000021222.1)". Lineage: Eukaryota; Metazoa; Chordata; Mammalia; Primates; Cercopithecidae. The record is from RNAcentral.